Molecule: ribosomal RNA, 253 nt
Filed under: uncultured bacterium
Lineage: Bacteria
Description: partial 16S ribosomal RNA
Rfam family: Bacterial small subunit ribosomal RNA
Source: RNAcentral
UACAGAGGUCCCAAGCGUUGUUCGGAUUUAUUGGGCGUAAAGAGCGUGUAGGCGGCCAGACAGGUCAGCUGUGAAAACUCGAGGCUCAACCUCGAGACGUCGGUUGAAACCGUCUGGCUAGAGUCCGGAAGAGGAGAGUGGAAUUCCCGGUGUAGCGGUGAAAUGCGCAGAUAUCGGGAAGAACACCCGUGGCGAAGGCGGCUCUCUGGGACGGUACUGACGCUGAGACGCGAAAGCGUGGGGAGCGAACAGG